UACGAAGUGGGCUAGCGUUGCUCGGAAUCACUGGGCGUAAAGCGCACGUAGGCGGCUUUUUAAGUCAGGGGUGAAAUCCUGGAGCUCAACUCCAGAACUGCCUUUGAUACUGAGAAGCUUGAGUCCGGGAGAGGUGAGUGGAACUGCGAGUGUAGAGGUGAAAUUCGUAGAUAUUCGCAAGAACACCAGUGGCGAAGGCGGCUCACUGGCCCGGUACUGACGCUGAGGUGCGAAAGCGUGGGGAGCAAACAGG
Molecule: ribosomal RNA, 253 nt
Filed under: uncultured bacterium
Lineage: Bacteria
Description: partial 16S ribosomal RNA
Rfam family: Bacterial small subunit ribosomal RNA
Source: RNAcentral